UGGCUCAGUUGGUAGAGCAUGGUGUUUGCAAUGCCAGCAUGGUGUGUGCAACGUGUGGGUUCGAUUCCCAC
This 71-nucleotide transfer RNA is filed under the name Salmo salar (Atlantic salmon). It matches the Rfam family "tRNA", at positions 8 to 63 of the family's 71-position model. Rfam says of the family: Transfer RNA (tRNA) molecules are approximately 80 nucleotides in length. Lineage: Eukaryota; Metazoa; Chordata; Actinopteri; Salmoniformes; Salmonidae. The record is from Rfam by way of RNAcentral.